This 253-nucleotide ribosomal RNA is filed under the name uncultured bacterium. Its description in RNAcentral is "partial 16S ribosomal RNA". It matches the Rfam family "Bacterial small subunit ribosomal RNA", at positions 524 to 776 of the family's 1533-position model. The record is from RNAcentral.
UACGGAGGGUGCGAGCGUUCUCCGGAAUUAUUGGGCGUAAAGGGCUCGUAGGCGGUUUGUCGCGUCGGGAGUGAAAACCCAGGGCUUAACCCUGGGCUGGCUUCCGAUACGGGCAGACUAGAGGUAUGCAGGGGAGAACGGAAUUCCUGGUGUAGCGGUGAAAUGCGCAGAUAUCAGGAGGAACACCGGUGGCGAAGGCGGUUCUCUGGGCAUUACCUGACGCUGAGGAGCGAAAGUGUGGGGAGCGAACAGG